UACGGAGGAUCCAAGCGUUAUCCGGAUUUAUUGGGUUUAAAGGGUGCGUAGGCGGCCUAUUAAGUCAGGGGUGAAAGACGGUAGCUUAACUAUCGCAGUGCCUUUGAUACUGAUGGGCUUGAAUGUACUUGAGGUAGGCGGAAUGUGACAAGUAGCGGUGAAAUGCAUAGAUAUGUCACAGAACACCAAUUGCGAAGGCAGCUUACUAAGGUAUGAUUGACGCUGAGGCACGAAAGCGUGGGGAUCAAACAGG
Molecule: ribosomal RNA, 253 nt
Filed under: uncultured bacterium
Lineage: Bacteria
Description: partial 16S ribosomal RNA
Rfam family: Bacterial small subunit ribosomal RNA
Source: RNAcentral